UGCUUAACACAUGCAAGUCGAACGAGAACGGACUAUAGCUUGCUAUAGUUGUCAGCUAAGUGGCGCACGGGUGAGUAAUAUAUAGGUAAUGUGCCCUAGAGAGGGGGAUAACAGUUGGAAACGACUGCUAACACCCCAUAUGCCUUUAAAACAUAAGUUUGCAAGGGAAAUAUUUAUAGCUCUAGGAUCGGCCUGUACAGUAUCAGCUAGUUGGUGAGGUAAUGGCUCACCAAGGCAAUGACGCUUAACUGGUUUGAGAGGAUGAUCAGUCACACUGGAACUGAGACACGGUCCAGACUCCUACGGGAGGCAGCAGUGGGGAAUAUUGCACAAUGGGGGAAACCCUGAUGC
Molecule: ribosomal RNA, 351 nt
Filed under: uncultured Campylobacterota bacterium
Lineage: Bacteria; Pseudomonadati; Campylobacterota
Description: bacterial SSU rRNA
Rfam family: Bacterial small subunit ribosomal RNA
Source: RNAcentral